GACAGAGUUAUCCCUUUCCCGAGACGCAAACAAAAUUAAAAAAAAAAAAAAGGGAAGGAAAUGCAUAUGAAAAUGGCGGUAAGGCGGCAAAAAAGGGGAAGUAUAUAUGCUGCUGCACGUCUCGUUAACUCUUUUUUCUCUCGCUCGCAUCUACAUCGCUCUUCUCAUUCUCUUUGCGAGCCAGUUUUCCAGUUUUUGGUUCUGGAAGCAAAGACUUAAUGAAAGAGAGUACAUGAUGAAUAUCAAGAGCAAUUGUUGGCCUUCAGGAUCCUCCAGUCUCCCAAUUGUUGGAAAGAAAUUCUGGUUGUUCUGGAUUUUGUUUAAAAUUCAAUCCUUGUGAAUUUGGAGAUGCGGACUCUUUUUUGGUCUUUUCCCGGUCAAAUCCUCGCACACAGACAGAUCCUGCAAAACAUUUUUCACUACUUGUUUAGAUGUGUUAAGCUAUAUGGUCACUUGCUUUUCUUGUUGAUUAUCCUGUGUUCCUCCUAAUAGGAAAAAUUGCCUUUUCAUCAUUGUUUUAGAAAUAAACUCUAACUAAAAGAAGAGAAAGAAAUGAAAAUUGUUUGUAGAUGCACUUAAAAGUAGUAUGUCAUGUAUUCCUCCAAAAAAAAAAAAGGAAUCAUGAUUUUCAGAUUUACAAAUUGGUAUGAAAAUAAGAUGAUUGAGAUAGAUAUAAAACAGAUACUGCAAACAUUCUAAUAUGUACAUGCCAAUAUUCCAAUGUGAGAAGAGCAUAUGGAAGACCAAGUAUUAAAUGGUUGAAUUGAUGAGGAGAAACGUGGUUGCUUGCUACAUUAUUAAAAAAGUCCAUGGUCAGAGUUCUUUGGCAAAAGGUAAUUCCUACCAAGGAGAGUUCCUGUCAAGUAUCAACUAUGGUUUGAGGCUUUCAGUUCGUUCUGAUUAAGGAGUGUUGUUGCUGGAAUUAAACUACACGGGUGGCUUUACUAGUAAGUAGAAGUGUAGAACUAGAAGUUGCCAUGUAUACUUAACUGGGUCAAAAGUUGUCAAAUGCCUCAUCACUUGUGCAGGAAGUCAGUUUCUAAUUGAUUGGAACGGUGAUGUCUCUGCCCUUGUUUGUAUACAGUUAUCUGAUUAUUUAAUGUGCUACAGAUUCAAACUUAAGUAGCAUUUAUAAAAGUGGAAGUGUAGCGCAUAUUGUGAAAUGACUACAUACUCCACUGUCCUUCUAUAGAUGAAUUAGAUAUUUUAACCUAAGAGCAACAGAUAGCUGGUGGCACAUGAUGAUGCCAUCCAUCAUGUGACGAGUGAAUCAAAUUGUGCAAGCGUGUUAGGUUUUA
Long non-coding RNA from Glycine soja, 1298 nucleotides. RefSeq lists it as uncharacterized. The record is from RefSeq and is a predicted model, not a curated record. The transcript has 2 exons. NCBI's taxonomy places the organism in Eukaryota, Viridiplantae, Streptophyta, Magnoliopsida, Fabales, Fabaceae.